GCAGCUGGAACACAGGAGGGCUGUGGAAAAACUUAUUGAAGAGCGUCGCCAGCAAUUCCUUGCAGACAAACAACGUGAACUAGAAGAGUGGCAGUUGCAGCAAAGGCAGCAAGGAUUUAUUAAUGCAAUUAUUGAAGAAGAAAGGCUAAAACUUCUCAAAGAGCAUGCUACAAACUUACUAGGCUAUCUCCCUAAAGGAGUAUUUAAAAAAGAGGAUGAUAUUGAUCUGCUUGGUGAAGAGUUCAGGAAAGUGUAUCAGCAAAGGAGUGACAUUUGUGAAGAGAAAUGAUUGAUAUCAUCAAAAUUGGUUGGAUUUUUUUAAAACGCAAAGUCAACUAGAUGCUGCUAAUGAGACGACACAAAGGAGUUACAAGUAAAAGAAUGGAAAAAGAUAAGACAA
Molecule: small RNA, 400 nt
Filed under: Pongo abelii (Sumatran orangutan)
Lineage: Eukaryota; Metazoa; Chordata; Mammalia; Primates; Hominidae
Description: processed transcript
Source: RNAcentral